UACGAAGGGGGCUAGCGUUGCUCGGAAUCACUGGGCGUAAAGCGCACGUAGGCGGCUUUCUAAGUCAGGGGUGAAAUCCUGGAGCUCAACUCCAGAACUGCCUUUGAUACUGGAGAGCUUGAGUCCGGAAGAGGUGAGUGGAACUCCGAGUGUAGAGGUGAAAUUCGUAGAUAUUCGGAAGAACAUCAGUGGCGAAGGCGAAUCUCUGGACAGUUACUGACACUGAGGCACGAAGGCCAGGGGAGCAAACGGG
RNAcentral lists this ribosomal RNA (253 nucleotides) under uncultured bacterium. RNAcentral's name for it is "partial 16S ribosomal RNA". It matches the Rfam family "Bacterial small subunit ribosomal RNA", at positions 524 to 776 of the family's 1533-position model. The record is from RNAcentral.